RNAcentral lists this ribosomal RNA (451 nucleotides) under uncultured bacterium. RNAcentral's name for it is "bacterial SSU rRNA". It matches the Rfam family "Bacterial small subunit ribosomal RNA", at positions 340 to 784 of the family's 1533-position model. The record is from RNAcentral.
UACGGAAGGCAGCAGUGGGGAAUAUUGCACAAUGGGCGAAAGCCUGAUGCAGCUAUGCCGCGUGUAUGAAGAAGGCCUUAGGGUUGUAAAGUACUUUCAUCGGGGAGGAAAAACAAAACUAAUAAUUUUAUUUCUUGACGUUACCCGAAAAAGAAGCACCGGCUAACUCCGUGCCAGCAGCCGCGGUAAUACGGAGGGUGCUAGCGUUAAUCAGAAUUACUGGGCGUAAAGAGCACGUAGGUGGUUUUUUUAAGUCAGAUGUGAAAUCCCUGGGCUUAACCUGGAACUGCAUUUUGAAACUGAAAUACUAGAGUAUCGUAGAGGGAGGUAGAAUUCUAGGUGUAGCGGUGAAAUGCGUAGAUAUCUGGAGGAAUACCUGUGGCGAAAGCGGCCUCUAAACGAAUACUGACACUGAGUGCGAAAGCGUGGGGAGCAAACGAGGGAUUAGGAU